This 502-nucleotide ribosomal RNA is filed under the name uncultured bacterium. RNAcentral describes it as "partial 16S ribosomal RNA". It matches the Rfam family "Bacterial small subunit ribosomal RNA", at positions 30 to 523 of the family's 1533-position model. The record is from RNAcentral.
AUUGAACGCUGGCGGCAGGCUUAACACAUGCAAGUCGAGCGGGGUGAUGGUGCUUGCACUAUCACUUAGCGGCGGACGGGUGAGUAAUGCUUAGGAAUCUGCCUAUUAGUGGGGGACAACAUCUCGAAAGGGAUGCUAAUACCGCAUACGUCCUACGGGAGAAAGCAGGGGAUCACUUGUGACCUUGCGCUAAUAGAUGAGCCUAAGUCGGAUUAGCUAGUUGGUGGGGUAAAGGCCUACCAAGGCGACGAUCUGUAGCGGGUCUGAGAGGAUGAUCCGCCACACUGGGACUGAGACACGGCCCAGACUCCUACGGGAGGCAGCAGUGGGGAAUAUUGGACAAUGGGGGGAACCCUGACCCAGCCAUGCCGCGUGUGUGAAGAAGGCCUUAUGGUUGUAAAGCACUUUUAGUGGGGAUGAAAAGCCGAAGGCUAUUACCUUUCGGUCUUGACCUAACCCAAAGAAAAAGCACCGGCUAACUCUGUGCCAGCAGCCGCCGUAA